Long non-coding RNA from Conger conger (European conger), 1979 nucleotides. RefSeq lists it as uncharacterized. The transcript has 2 exons. The record is from RefSeq and is a predicted model, not a curated record. NCBI's taxonomy places the organism in Eukaryota, Metazoa, Chordata, Actinopteri, Anguilliformes, Congridae.
GAAGUAUGUUCAGCUGUUUGUUUUAACUCUAGCUUCCUCUUCUGGUGUGGACAGCUGCAAGUAAUUUGUUUUCUGUGACCCUUAGUGUUGACAGCUGAAACUGUGAUAAGUCAGCUGAAGGUGUCCCUCCUCAUUCCAUCAGGCACAGGGGAUCAGGAAGUGGAAGCAGCCCUUUAUAAUGCCAGUCUUGCUCUCGAAGCUUACUUAAAGAACAAAUUCAGUGCAAUCAACUCGUUCAGAAUCCGCAAAUUCAUCAAGCCCUAAGAAACACAAUUUAACCAUGAGGAACCAUGGAGAAAGUGGUACAGGUGGCAAAAAAGAAAAUUAAUAAAAUCAAUUCUGUAUUUCACUGGGUGGCCUGUAGCGUAGCGAUUAAGGUACAUGGCUGGGACUCACAAGGUCUGUGGUUAGAUCCGGUGUUGCCCUAAUAAGAUCCGCACAGCCAUUGGACCGUUGAGCAAGGCCUGUAACCCUGCAUUGCACUCAGGGUGGAUUAUCUCCUGCUUUGUCUAAUCAACUGUAUGUCGCUCUGGAUAAGAGCAUCUGCCAAAUACCAUUAAUGUAAUGUAAUACUGUCUACCCAAGAAUACAGCGGAAUUCCUACCCAUUCGUAUUUUUAUAUUAAUCUAUCAUGACUUCAUCUCAUUCAUUACAUAUUCCUUGUACAGAUCUUGAGUGAAAUUUUCUGAAUCAGUAGCAUUACAAAAGGAAACUAAAGAUACCUAUGCACUAUAUUAGUCUUGGAAAAAAAUAUAUGAAAAGUGAUUAAUCAGUAACCUAUAGGUGCAUAACAUUGUACCUCUAGCCAGCAGUAUACAGUGGCUUCAGAAUGUAUUCAGACCCCUUCACUUUUUGCACACAUUAUUGGGUUGUAGAUUUAAAUUUAAAUGGAUAUAAUUGGCAUUUUUGCCCAUGAACCUACAUUCAAUAACGCAUGACAAAGUGAAAACAUGUUUUUAGACAUUUUUGCAAAUGUAUUACAAAUCAAGCGUCUUGGCUGUAUUCUUGGGGCAUGCUUCAUUGUCGUGCUGUAAGGUGAACCGUUGCCCCUGUCUGAGGUUUUGUUUAUUCAAGGAGUGGUUGAAGUUCUGCCCAAAGAGUUCAAUAUUUGUCCCAUCAGAUCUUUUCCCUCAUGCUCUCAGAGUCCUUUAAGUUCUGUUUGGUAAACUCCAAGCAGGCUGUCAUAUGCCUUUUACUCAAGAGUGGCUUCUCUCUAGCCAAUCUACCAUAAAGCCCUGAUUGAUGGAGUGCUGCUGAGAUGGUUGUGCUUCCGGCAAGUUCUCUGCAGAGGACCUCCGAAGCUGAAGUUUGAGUAACCGUUGGGUUCUUGGUCAUCUCCCUGACCAAGGCCCUUCUUGGCCGUUACUCUGUUCUAGGAGCUCUAGGAAGAGUCCUGGUGUUUCCUAGCUUCAUACUUUUCACAUUUAUUUAGGCCAUGUUCCUGGCAAAACUCAAAGCUUUAGACAUUGUUUUAUACCCUUGCCCUGAUCAAUGCCCUCUCCACAAUUAUAUCACAGAGGUGUACAGAGAGUUCCUUAGACUUCAUGGCUUGGUUUUUGUCCUGACAUGCAGUGUGAAUUGUGGGACAUAUAUACAAAGGUGUGUGCCUUUCUAAUCUAUGCAAUGAAUUGAAUACUUCAAUUCAGACCCUUUGCUGUAAAUUAGAGAUUUCAGUUUUUGAUUUGUAAUACAUUUUAAAACAUUUAUAACGUGUUUUCACUUUGUCAUUAUGGGUUAUUUCCCCAUUAAAUCUACAUUUAAUGGGUCUGAAUAAGCCACUGUAUAAUUAUUUUUGUUUUGAAACAUAUUCAUUUGUACCCAAAGAGAACAUUACUGUACUUUCAGGGUAAAUUUGGGAAAACUGGUCCUUGAAGAAAAAUGUACCUCCCCUGUCACUUUAUUCCUUGAUUCACCUUCUUGUAUCUGACUUACCGAAUGCAAAUAAAUCUGUUUGUGAAUGAAUAAAGUUUUUUUUCUGA